RNAcentral lists this ribosomal RNA (1287 nucleotides) under metagenome. RNAcentral describes it as "bacterial SSU rRNA". It matches the Rfam family "Bacterial small subunit ribosomal RNA", at positions 242 to 1520 of the family's 1533-position model. The record is from RNAcentral.
UAGCUAGUUGGUGAGGUAAAGGCUUACCAAGGCGACGAUCUGUAGCGGGUCUGAGAGGAUGAUCCGCCACACUGGAACUGAGACACGGUCCAGACUCCUACGGGAGGCAGCAGUGGGGAAUUUUGGACAAUGGGGGCAACCCUGAUCCAGCCAUGCCGCGUGAGUGAAGAAGGCCUUCGGGUUAUAAAGCUCUUUCGGCCGGGAAGAAAUCGCAUGGGCCAAUACCCUGUGUGGAUGACGGUACCGGAAUAAGAAGCACCGGCUAACUACGUGCCAGCAGCCGCGGUAAUACGUAGGGUGCGAGCGUUAAUCGGAAUUACUGGGCGUAAAGCGUGCGCAGGCGGUUUUGUAAGACAGGCGUGAAAUCCCCGGGCUUAACCUGGGAACUGCGUUUGUGACUGCAAGGCUAGAGUACGGCAGAGGGGGGUGGAAUUCCACGUGUAGCAGUGAAAUGCGUAGAGAUGUGGAGGAACACCAAUGGCGAAGGCAGCCCCCUGGGUCGAUACUGACGCUCAUGCACGAAAGCGUGGGUAGCAAACAGGAUUAGAUACCCUGGUAGUCCACGCCCUAAACUAUGUCAACUAGGUGUUGGGUGGGUAAAACCAUUUAGUACCGUAGCUAACGCGUGAAGUUGACCGCCUGGGGAGUACGGCCGCAAGGUUAAAACUCAAAGGAAUUGACGGGGACCCGCACAAGCGGUGGAUGAUGUGGAUUAAUUCGAUGCAACGCGAAAAACCUUACCUACCCUUGACAUGCCAGGAACUUGCCAGAGAUGGCUUGGUGCCCGAAAGGGAGCCUGGACACAGGUGCUGCAUGGCUGUCGUCAGCUCGUGUCGUGAGAUGUUGGGUUAAGUCCCGCAUCGAGCGCAACCCUUGUCGUUAAUUGCCAUCAUUUAGUUGGGCACUUUAACGAGACUGCCGGUGACAAACCGGAGGAAGGUGGGGAUGACGUCAAGUCCUCAUGGCCCUUAUGGGUAGGGCUUCACACGUCAUACAAUGGUCGGUACAAAGGGUUGCCAAGCCGCGAGGCGGAGCCAAUCCCAGAAAGCCGAUCGUAGUCCGGAUUGCAGGCUGCAACUCGCCUGCAUGAAGUCGGAAUCGCUAGUAAUCGUGGAUCAGCAUGUCACGGUGAAUACGUUCCCGGGUCUUGUACACACCGCCCGUCACACCAUGGGAGCGGGUUCCGCCAGAAGUAGGUAGCCUAACCGCAAGGGGGGCGCUUACCACGGCGGGGUUCGUGACUGGGGUGAAGUCGUAACAAGGUAGCCGUAGGGGAACCUGCGGCUG